Molecule: long non-coding RNA, 1628 nt
Organism: Monodelphis domestica (gray short-tailed opossum)
Lineage: Eukaryota; Metazoa; Chordata; Mammalia; Didelphimorphia; Didelphidae
Source: Ensembl
GAGAGAGAGAGAGAGAGAGAGAGAGAGAGAGAGAGAGAGAGAGAGAGAGAGAGAGAGAGAGAGAGAGAGAGAGAGAGAGAGAGAGAGAGAGAGAGAGAUGGUGGGGGAGGAGAGAAGAGAAACAGGAGAGGGAGAGAGAUGGUGGAGAGAGGGAGAAAAGAGGAGAGAGACAGAGAUGGAGAGAGAAGAGGAGAGGAAGAAAGACGAAGAGAAACUGUCAGGCUCAGUUUCUGAUCUGUAUUUUACAUAAUCAGAAAACUCGACAUUUGAAGAGCUCGGCGUGGCUCAAAGGCCAGGCAAGGGGCCGCAGCAUCCCCAGUGGUCAAAGGGGCCGGACCCGCUGGGUUACAUGUGUGGGCAGCCUCCGAUUCCUCGGGCGCCUCUCACUUGCCUAGAUGAAACACCACCCUGGGGGCGGGGAGAUGGGGGAGGCAGGUGCCAUCAAUGUCAUCUUCCCCCUUUCCCCUACAAUGUCAGGGCUCUUCUCCCUCCCUGCCCCCCCUCUUUUUGAAGAACUGCAUUUAUGACUGAUCACUCAACACCUUGUUGGUUCUGAUUGCAGAAAACACACCUUAUAAAUAUAUGAUAACCAUCCUGUAAUAGUGUGACAAUUUACUUCACAGUGCGUUUCAGGCUGCUAAUUGAUCGUUUCAGUCCAGGGACUAUUUUGGAAUAAAUUAUGCCCAUCAAAAGGAUAUCAGUUCAUUUGGGUAGAAAGAUUUCCACGUCGCUUCUCGUUCAUCUGCAGCUGGAGAGGGGCUUUCACCCCGCGCGGGGAGGGAGAGCAGGGUGGGGGAGGGGCUCUGGCAGGGACAGGAUAGCUGUGGUCGGAAGGCGUGGGCUCGGAGCCCAGGGACUGUGGAGCCCGCAGUGGUCGGUAGAGGCCGCUCUCUUUGUACGCAUCGCGGGGAGUCGGAGCUGUCUGGCAGGGCGUCCGGCUCAGGGUGAGCAGGGGGCCUCGACUCAGUACCCGGACGGGGCCAGGCUUCGAGGCUGGAGGUGGAUUUUGAAAACUAGACUCGGGACAUGCUGCUUUCCGAGGCCCUUUUCCUGAGCCUCCGUGGGGGAUGAUGGCCUCUAAGAGCCGCCUGGGCGUUCCAACACCCUGGGCUCCUCGCCCACCCUGGUAUGUAGGCACCCGGGGAGAAAGCAGGGGAAGGGGAAAAGGGGAGGGGAGGGAUGUGUGAGCGCCUGGAGGCCACCUUUCUGGAGGUGAGAGGGGGCCUGGGGGAGGGAGUGGGAAGACUUUCCCAGAAAGUGCAUGUUUGUGGUUCUCUGCAGCAAGGCUGUUUGUUUCCAUUGGUAAUCACUUACCUUUAAAAUAGGGAACGAGGUCCCACUUGGGAGAGAUAUACCACACCACUAGCAAACCUGGGAUUCCCUUGUAUUGAUUUCUUCCCUCUUUGAAGGUGGAAGAGGGAGAGGUUUGGGAGGAUGCUGCAACUGUAGUCUGCCUAGGAUAGCUACCCAGUAUUUCCCUGCUUCCCCCAAUUUUUUUCAGUAUUUAGCAAUAAUUAUACCACUCCAAACGGGCAGGGAGAAGUCAUGGGAUGCUUGGACACUCAGUAAACAGGAACCCGGCCCUUUCUAUCAAUACAGGUAGAAUAAAACUCUCCUCCCUCCCUCCA